GAUUGCGAAUAGCGGGCUGGCUCUCGAGGCAGCUGGGCAGGUAGGGCGCGUUAGGAAACAUCCUGGCCUGGCCGGAUGACGCCUGGCUGGGCGGAGGAGGACCGAAGGGCCCGUAGCGACAGGCUCCGGCUGUGCCAGUGAACUGGCCGGAAAAGUGGACAGUGAAGGCGCUCAGGCACUGCUCCUCGUGCGGCUCCGCGCCGCCCCAGCUCGGCUCCUGUUUGAUGAAGGAGUGAGGCGGCGGCGGCGGGGGUGGCGGCGGAGCCGGUGGCGGCGCGGGGCCGCCCAACGACCCGUAAGCCGAAGCGCCCGGGGGCGCAAAGUCCAGCACCGGCGCCCACUGCGCCGCGCCGCUCACAGGCAGGGCACAGCCGCCGCCGCCACCCAGGGAGGGGACGGCGGGCAGCAGCGCGUUCAGGUCCCGCACGUCGGAGCCCAUUUGCUGCGGCUCAGACCCGGACGCCCCGCGGCUCCUCCGGCCCUGGAGACGUUCAGCGCUGGCCUCGGCGGCGCCUAACUUGGCCCAGAUGCCGCCCGGGUCCCGGACUCCCUGCUGCUCUGGCUGCUGUAGGCACCCAGGCCCGGAGCGGAGCGUGUGCUGAGACGCCGGCUCCGGGACACACGUGGAAGCCGGGUCCUGCAGCAAGAGGAAGUCCAGGAUCGCGGCGAGGAGACGGCGGGGCCCGGGCGCCUGGGCUGCCGUCCCGGCUCUGGCUUCCCAAAGCUCAAAUAAGAGGGGCCGGCGGCGCGGGGAAGAGGAGGAGCCAGGAGGCUCGGCCGCUCCAUUCACUCAGCAGCCCAAGCCCGGCCAGGCAGCGCGCGCUGCUCCUUGGGGGCGCCCUCGCAGCUGGGGUGAGGGCGGGUCCGAGGGAGCGUCCCUCUCGGAGACACCCUCCUCUUCAACCCAACACGCGCUCUCAGCUGGCCGGUGUGGCACAACCCUCCCCCCACCUCCCCUUCUUGGCCUUCGCCAGUGUGGGAGCCUCGUCUCACUGGAGAGUCCGUUCAGGCAAGGAGAAGAACCGGGGGCCGGAGCGGAGCGUGUUUCAGAGGUGCGUAUAAAAUCCCAGGGGCGCCAGGAGGCAGCAGCGACGGCGCAGCGUGGGACGGCCAGGCGCGACGGGAGGGAAGCAACCGGUUGCAGUCCGGCCUCCUGUACCUGGCUGGCCCGGGCUGGGGCUGCAAGCUUUCCAGCCAAACUUAUGUGAAGCAAAGUAGUUGCAGUUUGACAAAGAAUGGCGUUUCAAUAAAUGACAUAGUAAUUUUUUACGCUUUGGUUUUUAGCUUGCAUUGCAUAAACGUUGUCGCCAUUAAAUUCUGGCUGCGGACCCGAAGUGUGUGCGGGCCCAGGACUUACUCGAAGGGCGCACUUCUUGGGAAUGCGCAUCCCGUAGGCGCAGGAGACCCUGAGGAAUCCUUGUGGGGGCGGGGAGGGGAAGAGCACCGGUGCGAACCCCGGGGUGCCCCCUCGCCCGACUUGGACUUCUCCGACUAAAGAGGUGGGAGGAGUUCCCUGCAGCCUGCGGGGCCAAGAAGAAAGUGCUAAGCUGAGGAGCCGCAGUCGGAGGACCCCAGGGACCCGACAGGAAGUCUCCGUACGACCCCAACGGAUCCACAUGCCCGGAAGCCCAGGCGACACUAAGCCAGCGCUGGGGAACUGACGUACUCCUGCAGUCGCAGGGCGCUCCAUGCCUCUCUGUCCUCUUCUUUGUUGUGGGUAACGUUCUCUGCGGGAGACCUGAGGUUUUCCAAGGGGGACAUGCCAGCUACACUGGCCUUGGCGCCCUGAGCUAAGCACCAGGACUCACAGCCUAGCACGAAGGCAGGUAGCACCUUCACCCGCCGCGGACGAUAGGCGCUCUCCUGUACCUCCUUUAGCUCGCGAGGCCCGCCCUUCGCGAGGUCCCAGAGAAAAGCAGGCUGUGGAAAACUGGGCGCCCCCUUCUUUCACCCACCUUCUUACCCCUGUCAGCGCCGAGAUCUGUAGCAGAGGUUCCUGGUCUGAACCACCGAUUGGCAAAGAAAGCUGCAGAUUAAACUUCUCGUUUUACAGAGAAGGAAACUGAGGCCCAGACAGCCGAAGGAGAGGCAGUCUAUGGAGCGCAGCGGUAAAGAGCAAGGGGUUGGUGGCCCCAGAAUGGAACCUCAGCUCUGCCAGGACAGGAAACAAGUUAGUGGCAACGCCGAGCUGAAACCCGGGUCUCUCAACGUCCAGUUGGAGGUUUUACCCACCACCCCUCUACCUCUUCAGAGCUAAUGGGAUGCAGAGGCGAGGACAGCCCCUGGAAAACCAUGUGGCGUUGAUACACUGGCAAAGCGCAGGCAUCCCGGCCUCGAAGGUGCAUAAUUAUUGCAAUAUGAAAAAAUCGAGGCUGGGUAGGAGCAGGGCAGUGAGGAUUUCUCAACCCUUACUUUCACCCCGGCGCUGUCCACUGCAUCUGACAGAGCGCGGAGCUGGGCUGCUACAGCCGCAACCCCAGGGACCAGUGCGCACGCCUGGGCCGCCCUCCGGGAGUCACCCAGCGGCCGCGGACAACUGAAUAAACACCCCAAAGCGCUGCGGUCGGUCAAGGGCGGGGACAGCCACACUGCGCGCGGGGCCCGCAGGCCGUAAUAAAGAGUGGCUCGACCUCGCUGCUGCCUGUCGCGGGAGAGGAACAAGCUUUCGACUAGCGCCUCUCCCCGGGGCCCGCGCCCCGAGCCCCACGCGCAAGACAGCCCAACAGCUGUUCCUCCCCUCCCCGCCGACUCCAACUCUUCGGAAUCUGCCCACUCGGGGCUGCAGGGCAAGUGUUUAGGAUGGUUCCCAGCCCCGCGCUGGCGGUGAAAAUUUCAACGUCAUUCCUUCAAUUAAAAAAAGGGGGGGGCAAGGGAGGGGCUUUGUGAUAACUACUCCCAGCUUCUUCUGAUCAUUUCAAAAUUAAGUCGAUUUUUUUUAACCAGUCCCCACUUACUGUCCUAACUCUCCUCGCUGACCCUAUCUGGGAGCCCGGAACCGUUAGGUACUGCCGAAUGCGGUGCAAAAUUUCCCCCUCUCCCCCAGUUCGCAGUGCCUGGAGCCGCUGGGGUUACUCGUCUGUUCUGAUGCCACCGCGAGAUGGUCCCCGAGCUCCCCGAGAGUCCUCAGUGAAAGGAUUCCGCGGCACUGCCUCUAUUAUUAUACCGUAAAUCUUUUUAAAUUCUGGAACUAAUUAUAUAGAGGAUAUGUCUCAAUUUGUUCUGCAUUAAUGCCACAGUGGGGAUGGAGGCCAGGCCGUGGCCAGAGCAGAUACGUAGGCCCAUGAAAUUGAUGAACUGAGAGUUGCUUCCAGUCCUGAGCGCACCAUCUGGAAUUCCAGUCUGAGGUUACAAUUAGAACUCCUGACCCCAGAUUCAACUUUGCAAACAACAGGGGAAAAAAAUGGGGAAAAGAAAAACCACGAGAGAGGGAAAAAAAAUUAUUCUGCACCUGUAAAAAAAAAAAAAAAAAAAAAAAAAAAAAAAAAGUCACACAAUCUUAAAAUCUUUCCGUCUUAGACAAUUCUUUCCAAGUAUUUCUUUUGUGUUUUUUAACCUAUAAAAGAUAAUGGAAUGUUUUAUAGACUGGAUUUUAUCUCAUCCCCUUUCCCUCUCCCAACUGCCCUCAGUUUAAUAGUUGUCAGUUUUACCUCAGUGUUGAAUUUAAUUAUAUAGGAACAAAAUAUUCCUCAGUAAAUUUGCUUGCUAAAUAUUCUGUCACAUUUACUUCCCCUUUGAGAAAUGGCUUAAUUAUAGAAAUCUACCUGCAUCUAGGAAUUUUUUUUCCCUUUUCUUUUUUGACCGCCAUUCCAGCUUAAUCGUAAGCAGAGAUUUUAUUUGUGCAGUAAUUUUAUUUGUGUUCUAAAUUCGUUUAGCCAAUUUCUUCCUUCUUUCUUUAGUAACACCCUGCUUUAUUUUCCUCUCACUUUGACCCCCUGAAGAAAACGAAGGACCAAGCAGUACUGGAGAAUCUGUUAAAUUUAUUAGCAUAAAUGCUUAGACAAAACGAGAUAUAAAUCAUUCAGAUGUAUUAAGCCAUAAAGUAUCCCAAUGAAGUCAGUCCCUUGCCAGGGUCCUGGUGUAUAAAUGUUCAUAUAAAACAAGGUAUCAGUAUUAUCUUUCAAACUGAAUAUAUGUUGUAAAAAUAUCCAAGGUUGAGUUAGGAAUAUGGGGGGAGGGUGCAGCAGGGCAGGAAGGGGAUAUUCUUUAGACCAGUUUGUUAACAUAGUGGUGGCUCAGAAAGUAUGGUGGAAAGGAAAAAUUUCAACCGUUUACAUUUGGAGUCUUCUUAGAUAAUAUGUUUUUAAAUAACGGUAUGCAGGAUAUAUUUGAGAGCAAAGGAAUAAGAGAAAAAAAAGAUGACUAGAGGGAGAAAGGCAUUGAUUUCUGUAGAAUGCAUUUGUCCCCCAAAGAUCAGUUUAGCUUCACAAAAAUCCACCCAGAGGAGGCACUGGCUCUUCACACAGAUAACGGAUUAUCCAGUAGAGAAGAGCUACCUGGGCCUUCGUCUGGCAACUGGGAUAUGCAGCCGCUGGUCAGCAGAGGGAUGUGUAUUCAUUAGCGGUGGAAGACGAGGAAAGCGCCCGGGAGUGAGGAAGAGGAAUGGACAGAAUUCCUGGCAGAAGCUUACCAAGACAAAAAUCAGACACAAUGUUUAAGCAGCAAUUGCUCGUGAAGUUCAUAACCAUGGCUCUCUGUAAAUCUUGGCAAAUUGGGACAUUCUUUGCUUUUUGGAAAUGAUUGUUUUCAAGACUUUUUUUAAAAAAUCAAGUUGUCCACCAGAAAAAUGGAAUAGCUCACCUUCCCCAUCUUUUUUUUAAAGCAGGGAUAUCCUCAUCCUUUCCGUGCCAUUCAUUCUUUCAUUCAUUCACUCACCGUGCAACAAAGAUUGUUGGGCAUUGUAGCAGCAAGUAGGAGCACAGGGUAAUGACAGGCUCACCCCGCUCUCACAGUUUAUAUUCCAGUAGGUAUGACAGAUACAUUACAAGGAAACAAUGAGAUAUUUUCAUAUAGUAGUAAUUGCUAUAAAAGAACAAGGAGAUCUGUAAGACUAGAGAAUGACUAAAGGUGAGAUGGGAAUGAGGAGCAACAGAUAGCCCUCACUUCCUUUUGCUUUCUGCCCACACUACCACAUUUUAGUGUGUUUAGGAAGUAUUCCACCUUACAGUCCAGAUGCAGGAAGGGUUUGAAGGAUUUGGAAUGGUUGGUCUGGAUAAAUCUCUGCCUACAAAACUGGACUUUAUGAAAGCGGCAGGGCAGCUGUUUAUAUAGCUGGCUUAAAAUCAUCACCACUAGCUGAGUGACUCUGAAAGCUAUUUAACCCCUGAGAAAUUCAGUUUUCUUCUCUUCAAGAUAAAAAAUAACAGCAAGUUAUGAGGACUACAUAAGGUAAGGCAUGUAAAUUUCUUAGCCUUUAGGAAGCACUCAAUACAUGUUGGCUAUUAUCUAUAUAGACAUAAAUUCUAUGCUUUGCUUCCAAUUAAUUGAUAAGUUAUAGGCUUAGUAUUGAUAUUGGUGUGAAUUCAGAAAAGGUGGAAGUCUUUGUUCUUGUUGGAUCAGGGUGAAGAGCAGGAAGAGAAACCUUUGCUGAAUCUGACCUUAAACAAGGUUGUUGCCAUCUAGAAGGAAAUUUAAAUGAUUUUGCCCUACACCAGGACCCUAAAACAGGAAAUAUGUGGCUUUUGCCUCAAAAUCAAGCUUAGGUUCCUUCUUUUAGUACAGAAGUCUAUAGGUUAACAACCUGAAAAUCUUAGAAUUGCAUUGAAAAUCUUAGAAUUGCAUUGUUCCUUAGAGCCACAUUUCAGGUUUGCAGCCUUGUCCAGGAUAAAGAAUUCUGGGGUAGGUAUAAAAACACCUGAACUCAAAUCCUAUCUCUAUCAGUUACUGUGAUCUUAGGGAAAUAGCUUCAGCUCUCAGUUUUUCAGUAGCUUUAUGUGUAAAAUGGAGAUUAUAUAAAAUGAAAUAAAGCAUCCAUAGGUGAUUUGAAAACUCUGAAGUGUCAGACAGUGCAGAAGACCAUCAUAACAUUGUUACAUGUGAACAUGUGGAAAGGAAUAUGUCUAUUCAGAACACUGGGGCACAUUGCUUGCUCUCAUGGUUCUUCAUUUUUAAGUGAGUAUAGUACCUUUCAUGCAGGGCUAUUGUGAUAAGUAAGUGAGAUCAUAUAUAUAAACUUUCAAAACAAUGCAUAGCAUAGAAUGUGUGCUAUGUAAGCAUCACUGCUACGGUUAUUGUUACUGUUCUCUGGCCAUCUUGUUGGGCCAAGUGUUGAACCUUAUAAUUUUCACAUAGAGAGCUUCUUACUGUAGAAGUUUAUAAUAGUAUAGAGAGCAAGGCUUUGGGAUCAGAUGACUGGGGUUUAAAGCCUCCUCGCUAGUUAUUUUCUGUAUGGCUUUGGGUGGCUUCCUUAUUUUCUCUGAGCUUUAAUUUUCAUAACCUUAAAACAGGGCUAAUGAUACCAUCACCUCACAGGGUUGUUUUGAGAACAAAUUAAAACACCAUAUGUAAAUUGCUUUCGUGGCACCUGGCAUGUAGUAAGAAAUCAAUAACUGGUAGUUAUUAAACCUACAAUUCUUCUAAUCAGACAAUAUUAGCUAUGACUUAAAACAGGUGAGCCUGCAAGAGCUUGAAUUACAGCAUGAUUCUGAACAAACACAGAAAGUAAUUUCUAUCUUCUUUUAAACUCACCUGUACUACACUGAAAUCUCACUCUUUCACAUAUGAAAGACUUUGCAACCAAGGCACUGACAAGGAUUUCCUUUUUGACUAUGAACGCUUUAGGUUAAAAUUCUGAAUCUCAUUUAUUUUUAAUGGGUUUCUUUGCAAAAUACCCAGCGUAUGUCAAGGACAUUGGUAAUCCCAUGUUCUUCAAAAUAAGCAGGAAAUUGAUUUCAGCCAAUGGGGAGAAAAAGUAGUUUGAUCCUCUUCCUGGAGUUACCACAUAGCAUUUAUUAAUAGCUCUGUAAACGGUCUGGAACACAGUAUCAGCUUGCUGUUCAAAAUAUGACAAAAGUUUAUGCAAAGUUGCUUAGGAAAAACAAGAUCUAGUCAUUAGAAAUCUGACACUGGUCAAUAGUACAUUUAUUCCAAGUCUCCAUAAAUCACAAACAAAUGAAACUUCUAUUGUGAUCACUGUUCCAGAUCUAAAAGACCCUCCCCCUUACUUUGGUAGAAAUUAAAUACAUUUUAGAAAGCCCAAUAUUUUUUCCUCUACAAAUAGAGGCUAAUUACAAAAUUUCCCAAGAAAUAAUAAAUAUUAAACUAUAAUCAACAGAUGUGACACAAGAUGAAUAAGAAGCACAUAACUUAGCUUUCAUUCCUUAUGUAGGGCGCAUGUUUAUCUUUAAUUAUCCCCAACCUGGGAAUGGCAUAAAUGUUAUCUGUUUUAUUUAUUAUUUGUAUCUAGAGUGACAUCACAUUUUGAUUUUGCCCAGGACAGUCUCAGCUUAAGCUGUUGUCCCAGCUUAAUUAUUAAUUACUCUCCUUUUACUCCAAAGUAUUCUACUUUUGAUGGUAAAUAAGGACUUCACUUGCUUAAAAUUUUAUUUUAUUAAAAAAAUGAUAGAUUUAAGAAAGCCAUUGGAACAAGGGUAAAAGAUAGGCUAAAUGGGGCUAAUGAGAAGAAAAAAAUUGAAUUAAUAUUAGAAUCAAAGGAUGCAGAUAGUUACUAUAAUUGAGCAUAAUGCAAUUCUGAACUUCCUGACAGCCAAGUAAGAAAGGGGAAAAUAGCACUAGUUACCUAUCUUUCGUGAUGCAAUAAAGGGAAGAAACCUAGUUUUUCAGAAGAGAUGAAUUUUUUCUAGUACUAAACUCAAAGAGGAACUUACCAUACUAGCCUUUCUAUAAGAGUUAUCAGGUAACGGUUAGCGACUUCAAAAAUAAUGUUUCAAAAGAUGCAACGACAUUUUCUGGUAGUUUAUUUCAACCCAAUGUCCACAGCAUUAAAAUUAUGGUUCUGUAAACUGUAAGAGGAGAGAGGCAAUAAUAUAGUCCCUUUUUGUAGUUUUCUGGAGGAUCUGACCUGAUCAAAUCAACCUGAUUUGUUAAUUUUUAGAAUGUGCCUAAUGGGUUUUUUUUUAUUUUUAUUUUUUAUUUUUUUUGAGGCAGAAUCUUGCUCUGUCACCCAGGUUGGAGUGCAGUGACCCCAUCUCGGCUCACUACAACCUCCGCUACCCGAGUUCAAGCGAUUCUCUUGCCUCAGCCUCCCAAGUAGCGGGGAUUACAGGCACCCACCACCCCGCCUGGCUAGUUUUUGUAUUUUUAAUAGAGACAGGGUUUCACCAUGUUGGUCAGGCUGGUCUUAAACUCCUGACUUCAGGUGAUCCACCCGCCUUGGCCUCCCAAAGUCUGGGAUUACAGCCGUGAGCCACCACGCCCGACCCCGUAAUUUUUUAAAAGCAUCUUUUAUUCGUUAAUCAUCAGUUAACUUGAACCCGAAUCCAAACGCUGCGAAAGACCUGACCAUUGUUCUCCAGAAUCUGCGAACGAUUUGGUGAGAGCUCUAGGGCAGUGGUUGUUCUCAACUGAGAUGAUUUGCAACCCAGCAGACGUCUGGCAAUGUCUAGAGAUAUUUUUUGUCACGACUUACAGUAAGACAGGAUCACUAGAUGCACAGUCCUGGUAUCUAGUGAGUAGAGGCCAGGGAUGCUGUUAAACAUUCUAUAAUGCACAGGACAGACCCCCCAGAACAAAGAAUUAUCCAGCCUAAAAUGUCAAUAGUGCCGAGACUGAGAAACUGUGCCCCAGGGUACUGUUAGAAGAAGGGAUGGAGGGCCAGGCGCGGUGGCUCACGCCUGUAAUCGCAGCACUGUGGGAGGUCAGGCGGGCGGAUCACGAGGUCAGGAGAUCAAGACCAUCCUGAUUAACACGGUGAAACCCCGUCUCUACUAAAAAAUACAAAAAAUUAGCCGGGAGUGGUGGCGGGCGCCUGUAGUCCUAGCUGCUUGGGAGGCUGAGGCAGGAGAAUGGCGUGAACCCAGCAGGCGGAGCUUGCAGUGAGCUGAGAUCGCGCCACUGCACUCCAGCCUGGGCAACAGAGUGAGGAUCUGUCUCUAAAUAAAUAUAUAAAUAAAAGAAGGGAUGGAGACAUAGUUUUUAGCUGGAGUCAAAAGAAAAAAUCCUCAUGGGGAAGGGGAGCUUGGGCUAGAUUCCUUCAUCCCACCCAGUGGAGCUGGAGGAUGUCUCUCCCCAAGCUCAGCAAAUGUCAGGAAAAAAAUACAAGAAGAGGCAAUCAUGUGGAAAUGCAGUCCACAAAGGGAAUUGUGGAUAAACUCAUUUAACCAGAAAGGAGGAAGAAUCCAUGUAGAGCAAUAAGAAAGAAAGCCAGAUAGCACAGCACAUGCAAAUUUAGGGCAAAGAGUUUCUGUUUUGAUGUUAUGCUCCAAUAUCACUAAAUAUUGCUGGUAUUUUUUAAAGCCACACAAAUCAAGGGCAGCAUAAACUUUUAUGUUCCCAGAGUUCAUCUUUGGAAUACUGGCUUAUAGUGUAUAUGUGGAUAUGCACAUAUUUUGCUUCCUCUCCUCCACAUCGUUUUUUACCACUUACAUAAUAGGGAUUCCUUGGAACUCAGUUUUAUAUCACAUUAAAUUUAAAAAUGGGUGCCUACUCAAAAAGACAACCUAUCAAGGCACAGAAAAUUCUGAACCACUGCUGUAAUGAAUACAUCAUUGGAAUCUCCAUUAAGAAAUAUUAUUCUGACCUAGUUCUCUGUGUCAUGCUGCAGAUUGUCCUUCUCUUGACUCAUGGAAUGCUUUGUGAGAAAGAACUACAAAGCCGGGUCCCUCGAUAUUAGCCAUCUCACCCUUCAAAGUUCAGCCAGGAGUGGGACAAAACCCUCGUCACCAUGUUGACAUGUUUACUUCUGGCGCAGGAAAAUACUGCUGUUGCCCAAUUUGGUUUCCCAGUCCAUUCACUUGCCUGGAGACAUAUAUUUUAUGCUUUCCUUUGAUGAUUUACAAAUAAAUUAACGUGAUUCACUAAGGUCUGCCAGCAUAUAUGCGUUACUGGAGAAAUCUGAGAUGUUGAAAAAGUAUUUUAAUUUAUUGUAUCCCAAUACUUUCUUAAGAAAGUUUCUUAAGAACCAAAUAAAUAUCAUCAGCUAGUUUAUAUACCUGACAUAUUUAUUACGGUAUUCCCGCUGAGCACUUCCCAUUGUCAUGUGUUCUCACACAUUGUUUUCACAAAUUGUGUUUUGAAAGAAGUCAAGGGAAAUUCAGGCCAGAGAAGCAAGAUGUUAUCUUUUGGAAAGGAUGAGCCCACUCUAAUGGAAGAGGAUAAUCCAUUCAGAGGCCCAGUAAGUAAAACAGGAUGCACAAACCUGGCUCUCAACUUGCUUACAGUCUGGCUGUGCUUCAGGACUUGGUCAUCAUUGAAGCAGGAUGUGCAAGUACUUGUAAGAAGUAUCCUUGUGGCCAGGUGCAGUGGCUCACACCUGUAAUCCCAGCACUUUAGGAGGCCAAGGUGGGCAGAUCACGAGGUCAGGAGUUCGAGACCAGCCUUGCCAACAUGGUGAAACCUGUCUCUACUAAAAAUACAAAAAUUAGCCGGGCGUGGUGGUGGGCGCCUGUAAUCCCAGCUACUUGUGAGGCUGAGGCAGGAGAAUCGCUUGAAACUGGAAGGUGGAGGUUGCAGUGAGCUGAGAUCAGGCCACUGAACUCCAGCCUGAGCAACAAGAACGAAACUCUGUCUCAAAAAAAAAAGAAGUAUCCUUGUAACAACCCUCACUUUUACCAGAUCCAAGAAUUCUCUCCAGUACCUCUCUAUGUUAUACAGGGAUACUGAAGACAAUUUCAUUAAGUUUUACAGAGAGGCCCCUG
This 10811-nucleotide long non-coding RNA is filed under the name Homo sapiens (human). RNAcentral's name for it is "HSALNT0362162". The stretch from base 3096 to 3389 matches the Rfam family "WT1 antisense RNA conserved region 7". Lineage: Eukaryota; Metazoa; Chordata; Mammalia; Primates; Hominidae. The record is from RNAcentral.